CCCAAAUUCAGGCUCAAAACCUUGCUUCACAACAACCAACACAAUCUGAAGCAACUUCACCUCCCCCAGAACAAACAACCAACAUACCUUCUGAACCUGAACCUGAAGCUGAAACUGAAUCUCUAACACUAGACUUAAACCCUCUUUACGCUUCACCCCAAAGAUCUGAACCUCAACCUGAAGCAGAACCUGAACCAGAACCUGAACCUGAACCUGAAGCUGAACCUGAACCUCUAACCUUAAAUCUCAGCCCUCCAACCUCUUCACCUCAAACCUCUGAACCUGACCUUUCUAUACCUACCCUUGAGGAAGCCAUAAUGCUAUUCGCAGG
RNAcentral lists this long non-coding RNA (331 nucleotides) under Lathyrus oleraceus (garden pea). Its description in RNAcentral is "Pisum sativum (pea) long non-coding RNA (PSAT_LNC031076)". The record is from RNAcentral. Lineage: Eukaryota; Viridiplantae; Streptophyta; Magnoliopsida; Fabales; Fabaceae.